This 1637-nucleotide long non-coding RNA is filed under the name Canis lupus familiaris (dog). RNAcentral describes it as "lncRNA (ENSCAFG00845000291.1)". Lineage: Eukaryota; Metazoa; Chordata; Mammalia; Carnivora; Canidae. The record is from RNAcentral.
AUGCCAUCUAUUCCCACCACAGAAUCACCGACUCAGAGCUUACUGCACAAGGAAGAAAGGGUCCAGGGGCCGGGGGUGUUUCACCUGUGCCUGCUGGGCGAGACUGGCCCCAGGCUGCUGGCGUGGACCCGGCCGCUCAGCACCUGGUGGUUCACAUGCUGGGCCCCCAGGUGCCAAGCAUUGCUCAGAGGCACAGGUGUCCUCCUUCCCACUUCUCAAAAGCCGGCUCCCUCCACCUCCCUGUUCCUGUCCCCCUCCUCCUGCAGGGACCUUCUCUGUGAACCUCCUGCCUUGGACGGGGUGACAGUCCUUCUCCAUCUGAACCAAAUGGACAUGGUGGAGAGCAAAGACGUCAAACACGUCGUGCAGAACGAACAAGGGCAACUACCGUGAAGAUAAGGCAUUGGCCACAGCAGUAGGAAGAGGAGCCUCUCCGAGUUGAGCGCCCAGCACAGUGACCUCGCGUAUUCCACAGGAGACUCAGGAAUGCAGCUCUGAUGAAGCAUGGAAGGACUUUUGAGAAUCUGGUAACCUGUAAGCGAGCUAUCUGCACGUGCCUCUGUAUGUUUACUACAGUUCAGGAAGAAAGGUUUCUUCAGGAAAAGCUGCACGGAGUAAUCCUUUCUUGGCAUAAAUGUACCACAUUUAAUUUCCACAGGAAGGAAUACUGUGAUGAUUUACCUGAUUUCCUUCAGGGAAUGAAUGAAUGAAUGAAUGAAUGAAUAGAACAAAUGCGUUACAGAGAGAAAAAUUCUUUACAAAGAGAUGAUUUCUCAAAUGAAAAGUGAUGUGACUCCCUCACUAGUUUUUAAACCUUAUUUUUUUUGAGAUCUUAACAAGUUACCUUAAACGUGCAUAAAUACAUAUAAAAAGAUAAAAAAUUUAAAUACUGGAAAAUUUUAAUCUGGAGAAUAGGCUAAAACAACUAGUUUCAAGUAUCUAUCCAUUUAAUUUAUAUGAAUUUAAAUUUUAAAAAGUAAAAAAAAGUAUUCAUGUCAUCUUUUACAUUUUCUUCUGUUUCAUAUGUUUCAUUUCUCAAAUUGAGCAUAAAUAUCUAAACAGUUGAGAGGUGUUAUAGACAUUUGUCUUGAAGCAGUGCUACAGCCUUUCCCAGUUGCAGAAACUGAACUAAAAUUUACUUAAAAAAUAAAAAUAAAAAGGAAUGUAUUGUCUCAUAUGACAAGUCUUCAGGUAUGGCUGGAUCCAGCAGCUACAGAGAUGUGGUUCUGAACUCUCUCUCCACCCCUGGGCUUUGAGUUCCUCUAUAUUAUUUAUGGUCUCCAAGGGUUCACUUCACAUGGCAAGAAAGGCAGUUCUCACCUUAUGAAGGUCCUGUGAUCUGGAGUGGCUCAGGAAGCCUAACUUCUGGAAUCUUCUGAUUGGCCAAGCAUGGGCAAAUGCUCAUUCUGGAGCAGGGUGAGGACAGGGAAAGGUCAAUCAGGAUUACUGCAGAAUGGUCAAGACAGUGUUUCCAGCACCCACCAGGGAUGCUGGGCAGAUGAACCCAUCGCGAAAUUUCUGCACAAUGGGGUCCCCAUACAUUCACUAGAGGAUGCUGCCCCCUAGGCCCCGUACCAGCUCAGGUGGAUCCCAAAUGUGUGCUAGAAGUCUGAAGAUUAAGAAAACCACAUGUGGAG